GACGAACGCUGGCGGCGUGCUUAACACAUGCAAGUCGAACGGAAAGGCCCUGCUUUUGUGGGGUGCUCGAGUGGCGAACGGGUGAGUAACACGUGAGUAACCUGCCCUUGACUUUGGGAUAACUUCAGGAAACUGGGUCUAAUACCGGAUAGGAGCUCCUGCUGCAUGGUGGGGGUUGGAAAGUUUCGGCGGUUGGGGAUGGACUCGCGGCUUAUCAGCUUGUUGGUGGGGUAGUGGCUUACCAAGGCUUUGACGGGUAGCCGGCCUGAGAGGGUGACCGGCCACAUUGGGACUGAGAUACGGCCCAGACUCAGACGGGAGGCAGAAGUGGGGAAUAGUGAAAAAUGGGCGGAAGCCUGAUGCAGCAACGCCGCGUGCGGGAUGACGGCCUUCGGGUUGUAAACCGCUUUCGCCUGUGACGAAGCGUGAGUGACGGUAAUGGGUAAAGAAGCACCGGCUAAAUACGUG
Molecule: ribosomal RNA, 468 nt
Filed under: uncultured bacterium
Lineage: Bacteria
Description: partial 16S ribosomal RNA
Rfam family: Bacterial small subunit ribosomal RNA
Source: RNAcentral